Long non-coding RNA from Oncorhynchus masou masou (cherry salmon), 998 nucleotides. RefSeq lists it as uncharacterized. Lineage: Eukaryota; Metazoa; Chordata; Actinopteri; Salmoniformes; Salmonidae. The transcript is spliced from 3 exons. The record is from RefSeq and is a predicted model, not a curated record.
GCGGUGGUUGCGAAGAUGAAGGGAGCAGCUGCAGACCAGAAGACUGCAGCCAAGGCAUCACUGGUCCACACCUGCCCUGUCCUAUUAUUUACGCAGACCCAAAGACAUUCAAGCAGCACUUUGAGAGCAUGUAUCCAAAGUCUUCAAUGGUCCCAGUACUGAUUGAUGUGCAGGCCUAAGUGACCACACACACUCAAAUGGAACUCCAGCUAGGUCCACCUGUCCGUGCUGCUGCUCCAGUUUCAACUGUUCUGCCUGCGGCAAUGGAACCUUGAUCUGUUCCCCGGACGUGCUACCUGUCCUAGACCUGCUGUUUUCAACUCUCUAGAGACAGCAGGAGCAGUAGAGAUACUCUGAAUGAUCGGCUAUGAAAAGCCAACUGACAUUUACUCCUGAGGUGGUGACCUGGUGCACCCUCAACAACCACUGUGAAUGUUAUUAUUUGACCCCGCUGGUCAUCAAUGAACAUUUGAACAUCUUGACCAUGUUCUGUUCUAAUCUCCACCCGGCACAGCCAGAAGAGGACUGGCCACCCCUCAGAGACUGGAUCCUCUCUAGGUUUCUUCCUAGGUUCUGGCCAUUCUAGGGAGUUUUUCCUAGCCACUGUGCUUCUACACCUGCAUUGCUUGCUGUUUGGGGUUUUAGGCUGUGCUUGUGUACAGCACUCUGUGACAUCAGCUGAUGUCAGAAGGGCUUUAUAAAUACAUUUGAUUGAUUGAUUGACAUAGUGUCAACAAAAUUCUGUCUUCAAUGCUUAAGGCCAGGCACCACACCCUCAUAGGGUACUUUUUCCCCCUUAAUCAUAUCACAAUCAACUUUUACCAGUUAAUGUAGACACACAUUUAUGAAUAUUUUAUAUUAAAUAUUUCUGAAAUAUGUUAUUAAAAUAUGCAAAUGAGGUUCUCAUUAAAUAUGCAAAUAUUUUCAUAUCGCGCAAAUCCAUUUUUCAGGACACUGGAUGAAGUCAGACUAAAUAUUUUGAUUUCAUUUUGUUAAGA